CACCGCCUGCGGGAAACCGGCAUCGGCCAGGGCUUUCAUCUUUUGCAGCCCCUGCUUCGCCGCAAGCUUUGGGUUCGACACCUGGAAGCGGUGU
RNAcentral lists this transfer RNA (94 nucleotides) under compost metagenome. Its description in RNAcentral is "tRNA-Glu". The record is from RNAcentral.